Mangifera indica (mango) is the source of this 795-nucleotide long non-coding RNA. RefSeq lists it as uncharacterized. The transcript is spliced from 2 exons. The record is from RefSeq and is a predicted model, not a curated record. Lineage: Eukaryota; Viridiplantae; Streptophyta; Magnoliopsida; Sapindales; Anacardiaceae.
GUGGCUUCUUCAGCUACAAGAUAGAAAGGAGGUUGAAAAUGACUUUGCACCAAGAACAAAAAUAUGUGCCAUUGUGAUAUAUGCAUGAUUGGGCUGCAAGGGAAUGCAAGAUGUGUUAAGAAACAGUGACAUUUAUGACUUCAUUCUUCUCUAAGCAACGCCUAGAGUAGACAUAAAUUUUUACUUAUUUGUUUAGCUUCAAUCUGCAUGAGCCAAGCAACAACAAUUUCUCCAAAUGGGAUGGCUGCAGUCCCUCUUCUCUCCAUUGAAGAAGCUAUGGUUUCGCCUGCAUUCGAGUCAAAAAAAGAGAAGAGGGAUAUACAUUCUAUACGAGGAUGUCAAAUCUUGCCCUUGUGAAGAUGUUCAAGUGUUAUGGUCAAUACUAGUUGAGUCACAUACACCGUCUUUACAGCAAAAUGGAAGACCAUUUAAUUACUGAGCUCACAGAUGAAGAUAAAAAGAGAGUUUUCCAGUCAUGUGCAUAAUAUAUUUAUGAUGUUUUAUUGUCCUCCUAUGAGGUUUUUUUUUUUUUUUUUACUUUUGUGUUCUAGUUUGCUUCCUCAAGUGCCAUACCAUCUGAGUAAUUACAUAAUAGAAUUUCGGCAUCCUUCUAAUUUUCUUUCUUCUUUGCAAUUUCUCUUCUAAAUUAGCUGAAGGGUAGUUCUUCAUUUUGAAUUUGGCUGUAUAUUGUUUCUCUAUUUGAUCUUUAAUCCAACUCUAUAUAUAACUUACACAAGUUUAUAACUUAGCAUUUACUAUGCUAAAAGUGAUUGGGGAAGGUAUUCUUUUCUGAUA